AUCUUCAAGGUGGCUGCUACACUUGACGUUUGUCAGAAGCAAUGUGCUGUCGUAGAAUUCCUGUGCUGUGAAAACGAGACAGUGGGAAACAUCCACAAGAGGUUGAAAAAGGUGUAUGGAGAUGAUGAAAGCGGGUGCGGCAAUAUUGAGGAUUGUCCUCGCAGUGGCAGGCCUCGUACUGCACACACUCCAGACCAUGUGCAGAGAGUUAACAAAUUGGUGACUGCUGACAGACGCACCACAGUGAACGAAUUGUCAUGCUACAUUGGGAUAGGGGAAGGAAAAGUUUGCAGAAUACAGAAAGAGUUGGCGUUAAAAAGGUUUGUGCCAGGUGUGUUCCCGGGAUGUUGACAGUGGCUCACAAAGAAACACGAAAAACAGUAUGUAGUGAACUUUUGGAACUGUACAAGAAUGGUGGAGAUGAAUUUCUUGGAAGAAUUGUCACAGGUGAUGAAACAUGGCUCCAUCAUUUUUCACCAGACAAAGAGGUAAUCAAUGGAGUGGCAUCAUGCAAAUUCACCCAUGGGGGAAAAAAAAAAUCUUCUGCUGGGAAAGUUAUGCCUGUAGUGCUUUUCGAUUCCGAAGGACUCUUGCUUCUGGACAUCAUGCCAAGUGGAACCACCAUAAAUUCUGAUGCAUAUGUGACGACACUGAAGAAACUUCAAGCUCGACUGAGUCGUGUUCGACCACAUCAGCAAAAGCAGGAUGUUUUGCUGUUGCACGACAAUGCACGGCCA
Schistocerca cancellata (South American locust) is the source of this 737-nucleotide long non-coding RNA. RefSeq lists it as uncharacterized. The transcript is spliced from 2 exons. The record is from RefSeq and is a predicted model, not a curated record. NCBI's taxonomy places the organism in Eukaryota, Metazoa, Arthropoda, Insecta, Orthoptera, Acrididae.